AGGAUGAACGCUGGCGGUAUGCCUAACACAUGCAAGUCGUACGAGAGUUUAUAACUCAAGUGGCGGACGGGUGAGUAACACGUGAGAAUUUACCUUUAGGAGGGGGAUAACACCUGGAAACGGUUGCUAAUACCCCAUAUGCUUUCGAGUGAAAUAGAUUUUUCUGCCUAAAGAAAAGCUCGCGGCUGAUUAGCUUGUUGGUAAGGUAAUGGCUUACCAAGGCGACGAUCAGUAUCUGGUUUGAGAGGACGAUCAGACACAUUGGAACUGAGACACGGUCCAGACUCCUACGGGAGGCAGCAGUGGGGAAUUUUCCGCAAUGGGCGAAAGCCUGACGGAGCAAUACCGCGUGAGGGAAGACGGCCCAUGGGUUGUAAACCUCUUUUUUCAGUGAGGAACAAAUGACGUGUAACUGAAGAAUAAGCAUCGGCUAACUCCGUGCCAGCAGCCGC
Molecule: ribosomal RNA, 452 nt
Filed under: uncultured bacterium
Lineage: Bacteria
Description: SSU rRNA
Rfam family: Bacterial small subunit ribosomal RNA
Source: RNAcentral